Molecule: ribosomal RNA, 433 nt
Filed under: uncultured bacterium
Lineage: Bacteria
Description: bacterial SSU rRNA
Rfam family: Bacterial small subunit ribosomal RNA
Source: RNAcentral
CAGGCCUAACACAUGCAAGUCGAACGCCCCGCAAGGGGAGUGGCAGACGGGUGAGGAACACGUGGGAACGUACCCUUUGGUUCGGAACAACCCUGGGAAACUAGGGCUAAUACCGGAUACGCGCGAGAGCGGAAAGGUUUACCGCCGAAGGAUCGGCCCGCGUCUGAUUAGCUAGUUGGUGAGGUAAUGGCUCACCAAGGCGACGAUCAGUAGCUGGUCUGAGAGGAUGAUCAGCCACAUUGGGACUGAGACACGGCCCAAACUCCUACGGGAGGCAGCAGUGGGGAAUAUUGGACAAUGGGCGCAAGCCUGAUCCAGCCAUGCCGCGUGAGUGAUGACGGCCCUAGGGUUGUAAAGCUCUUUUACCCGGGAAGAUAAUGACAGUACCGGGAGAAUAAGCCCCGGCUAACUCCGUGCCAGCAGCCGCGGUAAU